GCUGAAUUUUGUGUCUUAAUUAUUUAAUCAAACAUACAGUAUUUGAGAGCAAAACUAUUAAAUUGUUGUAAAAAAAAUUAAUUCGCAUUUAAAAAAUGUUAUCUUAAAAUUAUUUUAGUUACAAAAUACAGUAAUUGUUAACCAAAUUUUUUGCAAUGUGAAUUUUUCUUUGAGUAAUUUCAUCGCGUGUCCCUACAUUUUGCUCUCUGCUACGCUGUUUUUGUUUGCGGAUCAAAAAUCUUUGCUUUUGAGUCAAAAAGUUUUGGAUGCAAGUUACACGCGUCUCAGUGGGCGGGAUCAACCUAGUUGAAUGAAAGACCCGUUUCUAUUGGCCACUACUGUCACCAUUUGGCUACGCCCACCACGGAAGUCUGCCACCGAGGAGAGCGAUGCUGUGCUAUGGAGAGCGGCAUUGUUUGUAAGGAAUGAUUGGGAGGAUUGUAAUCAGAGAGGCCAAGAAAGAUGUCAAUAUCACUUUGUAAUGCAAGAUCUGUUGUGGAGAGGAUGCAUUGUGUGGCAUCCUCAUCUCUGCUGUUGACUUCAAACAAUUCAAUUUUGUUCACAUUUAUUUGUAUAGCGCUUUGAACAGUUUUGAAGUCCUCGUGAGGGCCGAUGUCAACUUUCCUUAUGUGUAGGGUCAUCUGAUAGAGACAGGAUCCAGAC
Molecule: non-coding RNA, 663 nt
Organism: Misgurnus anguillicaudatus (oriental weatherfish)
Lineage: Eukaryota; Metazoa; Chordata; Actinopteri; Cypriniformes; Cobitidae
Source: RefSeq, a predicted model, not a curated record